GACAAAAGAGAGGACAAGCUACAGAACUUGAAAUGUGAACCUAAGUUGGCAGUUUGUGAAAGCUAAGCAGAAUUUGGCUUCUUCUCCAUGUGACCGCUAAAAAGUUGCACAGCUCUUUUUACAGUUUAACCUAUGAUCUCUACCUAAUUUACAGACCCCUUUUAUUUAUCUACCUACUAGUUAUAAUUAGUAGUGAUUUGAGAAUUCAGUAGUGAAAUUAACAUUUAGGGUUUGCUUUUUGAUCUUUAGAAAGCAAUCGUUCACCUUUUUUCCAGAGACUAUAAAUAUUGCUAUAUAUUAGCGUAGCUAUAUAGUGUUGGUCUGUGAUAUGGAUAUAAAGUUAGCUUGGAUAUAUGGAGGAAGAAGCUACUGGGAAGCCAUAUCAGGAGAGACAUGCAUGUCACCUCCUCUUUCACGCAAAUGCAUGGCUUAAAAUAGAUAUUUGGUGAGAUCACAGCUCGUGCUUUUUCUUCACAGGAAUGAAAAUAAUUGAAAGUUCAUGCUUAGAAACAAGUAUGACGUUUGUAGAAGAUUGAUAUUGUUAGUUAGCAAAAAGGCAAAUGGGAAAGUCAAAGAGUGAUGAAGGAGAGAAGCUCAUGAUCAUGAAUAUAUAUAUCCAUGGAGAAGAUAAUGGAGAUUUUGCAGUAGCAGUAGUAGCAGCAUGCACAUAUCCCCAUGUCACCAUGGCCAUGUGGGAAAGAAGUGUAGGAGGUAGAAGGAGACGUCAUAUUGAAGGUGGUUUUUGGCGUUGGUUCCGUUUGUUUUUCAGUUACAGGCUUUUCCUCAAGCUCAGUCCCAAUCCAACAUCAUUUGGUUUUUGGGCUACAGCCUCUCUAAUAUCAUUAUUGCCUUCUCUUUCUGCUGCUUCCACAAACCCCCCUUUCUGCUCCUUCCACAGCUUUUUCUUUUCUUCUCUAUAAUAUAAAUAUUUGGUUGGGAUCGAUUUUUGAGAGUCUGAAAGAAGACCGCCGUCAACUAGUGCAGGAGGCUAAACUUCGAUUUACACUGCAAGGAUGACUUUUAGGCUUUAGCAAAGAGGUAUUCACCAAAAAAAGGCUUAGCAAAAAGGUGACAUUUCCAUGUGACUACGUUCCUUUCAUUGUGCAUGUAACACCAGCGGACAGUACUGUAUGUGAAUUUUCUUUUUAUCAUAUUUGAUUCUUUUAUUUCUAUUUUCCUGGAAAACCGUAUUUUAGUUUCUUUUACUUUUCUCGGUCAGAGACAUAAGAUAUUUCAACCAUAACUUUAUUUUGUCUUGGAAUUAAAGGUGAUUAAUUAGCACAGUGCUCUUCCUUUGCAAGAGAAUCAAAAUCACAGUUUAAUUUUUUCCUUGAUUAAUUCAUAUUAGAUCUAACAAUAUAUUGUGUUUGCAUCAAAUUUAAUCCAUCUAAAUACAACUGGUUAAACUAUGGAGAUGGAUAUAUCCAAAUUCAUUUGUUUAACCAAUUAAUUUAUUAAAAAUAUAUAUAAGUUUGAGAAUUAAACUUAUUUGAAAAAAGGACUUAUUUGUUUGAUAUUUCUAAAAAAAUUAACUAAAAAAACAAAUGUUUAAAUGAUAGAUUAAGCAUUUUUUAAAUUAGAAUAUUCAAAUAAUUACAAAAAUAUCCUGGUUAAUGGAUUUAAGGAGUUUAUUGUGUUUUAGUUUAUUUUACCUGUUAAAAUUUGCUAACUUAUUAGAUAUUGGUGGGUUUUAAUUAUAUGGAUCCGAUACGGUAAUACCCAACUUAAACAUGUAUGAACUUUCCCGGAUGUAAAUUGAUAAUGAAACAAAAACCAAUAAAAUAUUUAUGAUGGAAGCAAUAUUUCAGUUUUUAAAUUUCUUCGCAAAUCUUUCUGACUGUA
Ziziphus jujuba (common jujube) is the source of this 1842-nucleotide long non-coding RNA. RefSeq lists it as uncharacterized. The transcript has 3 exons. NCBI's taxonomy places the organism in Eukaryota, Viridiplantae, Streptophyta, Magnoliopsida, Rosales, Rhamnaceae. The record is from RefSeq and is a predicted model, not a curated record.